This 87-nucleotide unclassified non-coding RNA is filed under the name Pseudomonas psychrophila. The record is from RNAcentral. Lineage: Bacteria; Pseudomonadati; Pseudomonadota; Gammaproteobacteria; Pseudomonadales; Pseudomonadaceae.
UGUGGGAGCGGGCUUGCUCGCGAUGCAGACGCUGUGGUGUUUCAGUUGAAUCGCGUCGAUGCAAUCGCGAGCAAGCCCGCUCCCACC